GACGAACGCUGGCGGCGUGCUUAACACAUGCAAGUCGAACGGUGAAGGGACCGGUUUUUGCUGGUUCUGGAUGAGUGGCGAACGGGUGAGUAACACGUGAGUAACCUGCCCCCUUCUUCUGGAUAACCGCAUGAAAGUGUGGCUAAUACGGGAUAUUCUGCGCCUGCUGCAUGGUGGGUGUGGGAAAGAUAUUGUUUCGGUGGGGGAUGGGCUCGCGGCCUAUCAGCUUGUUGGUGGGGUGAUGGCCUACCAAGGCGGUGACGGGUAGCCGGCCUGAGAGGGUGGACGGUCACACUGGGACUGAGACACGGCCCAGACUCCUACGGGAGGCAGCAGGGGGGAAUAUUGCACAAUGGGCGCAAGCCUGAUGCAGCGACGCCGCGUGAGGGAUGGAGGCCUUCGAGUUGUAAACCUCUUUCGCCAGUGAAGCAGGCCUGUCCCUUGUGUGGGUGGGUUGACGGUAGCUGGAGAAGAAGCGCCGGCUAACUACGUG
RNAcentral lists this ribosomal RNA (493 nucleotides) under uncultured bacterium. Its description in RNAcentral is "partial 16S ribosomal RNA". It matches the Rfam family "Bacterial small subunit ribosomal RNA", at positions 28 to 507 of the family's 1533-position model. The record is from RNAcentral.